UAAAACUUUCAACAACGGAUCUCUUGGCUCUGGCAUCGAUGAAGAACGCAGCGAAAUGCGAUAAGUAAUGUGAAUUGCAGAAUUUAGUGAAUCAUCGAAUCUUUGAACGCACAUUGCGCCCCUUGGUAUUCCGAGGGGCAUGCCUGUUCGAGCG
This 154-nucleotide ribosomal RNA is filed under the name Pleochaeta polychaeta. RNAcentral's name for it is "5.8S ribosomal RNA". It matches the Rfam family "5.8S ribosomal RNA". From Rfam's summary of the family: 5.8S ribosomal RNA (5.8S rRNA) is a component of the large subunit of the eukaryotic ribosome. It is transcribed by RNA polymerase I as part of the 45S precursor that also contains 18S and 28S rRNA. Functionally, it is thought that 5.8S rRNA may be involved in ribosome translocation. Lineage: Eukaryota; Fungi; Ascomycota; Leotiomycetes; Helotiales; Erysiphaceae. The record is from RNAcentral.